Molecule: ribosomal RNA, 535 nt
Filed under: Trigonopterus sp. 460 MB-2015
Lineage: Eukaryota; Metazoa; Arthropoda; Insecta; Coleoptera; Curculionidae
Description: partial 16S ribosomal RNA
Source: RNAcentral
AACCGACCUGGCUCACACCGGUUUAAACUCAGAUCAUGUAAAAUUUUAAAGGUCGAACAGACCUAAUCAUAAAGCUUCUUCACCUAUAAUUCAUUUUAAUCCAACAUCGAGGUCGCAAUCUUUUCUUUCGAUAAGAACUCUAAAAAAAAUUACGCUGUUAUCCCUAAGGUAAUUUAUUCUUAUAAUCCAAACUUCAGGAUCAAAUAUUCACAAAUAAAUGUACUUUCUUUAAAAGAAAAGUUUUUCUAAUUUUCCUAUCACCCCAAUAAAAUAUCUAAAAAUUAAUAGUUUUUUUAUUCCCAUAAAUAUAAUCCCAUUUCUAAAUAUAAAACUCUAUAGGGUCUUCUCGUCUUCUAUAUAAAUCUAAGCUUUCUCACUUAAAAAUAAAAUUCUAAUCAACUUAAAAAGAGACAGUUAAUUUCUCAUCACACCUUUCAUUCCAGCUUUCAAUUAAAAAACUAAUGAUUAUGCUACCUUUGCACGGUCAAUAUACCGCGGCCAUUAAAUUUUUCAUUGGGCAGGUAAAACCUAAAAU